CCUACGGGUGGCAGCAGUAGGGAAUAUUGCUCAAUGGGGGAAACUCUGAAGCAGCAACGCCGCGUGGAGGAUGAAGGUUUUAGGAUUGUAAACUCCUUUUGUUAGAGAAGUUUAUGACGGUAUCUAACGAAUAAGCACCGGCUAACUCCGUGCCAGCAGCCGCGGUAAUACGGCGGGUGCAAGCGUUAUUCGGAAUCACUGGGCGUAAGGGGUGCGUAGGCGGGGUAAUAAGUCUGUUGUGAAAUCCUGUAGCUUAAUUACAGAACUGCAUUGGAAACGGUUACGCUGGAGUGUGGGAGAGGUAGGUGGAAUUCGUGGUGUAGGGGUAAAAUGCGUAGAGAUCAAGAGGAAUACUCAUUGCGAAGGCGACCUGCUGUAACAUUACUGACGCUGAGGCACGAAGGCGUGGGGAGCAAACAGGAUUAGAUACCCUAGUAGUC
Molecule: ribosomal RNA, 440 nt
Filed under: uncultured bacterium
Lineage: Bacteria
Description: partial 16S ribosomal RNA
Rfam family: Bacterial small subunit ribosomal RNA
Source: RNAcentral